Molecule: transfer RNA, 71 nt
Filed under: Phrynosoma platyrhinos (Desert horned lizard)
Lineage: Eukaryota; Metazoa; Chordata; Lepidosauria; Squamata; Phrynosomatidae
Description: tRNA-OTHER
Source: RNAcentral
AGCCAAGUGGUGUAGUAGUUUGAGCAUUCCACUAUGACUCUGCAGACCAGGGUUCAAUCCCGGCUUGGCCG